GGGGGUGAACGGCUUCGACGUGAAUGGCAAAGCAAGGCGGCAAGCGGAGCAUAUGCCAUCUCCUAAAACUGGCAAACUUCAAAUACAAAUGCCAAUUACGCAUUUGCUACCCCUUCUCUAAAUUAGAGCAGGGCGUCUUGAGUGGAUGGCCGCAGGCCACUUUUAAGGCGUCGACUAUGCGGCUAUACUGGCCUAUGCGCUUUUCAUAAUCCAGUGAACAAACAAUAAGCUAGGCUCAUGUUAUCCUGGCCAUGGGAGAACAAAAAGCCGAAUCUUUAAAUCAUGGCGCUAAGCUUGUAGAUGCCGAGUGGCGUAAUUCGCGGACGCGGGUUCGAUUCCCGCCACCUCCACCA
RNAcentral lists this transfer-messenger RNA (353 nucleotides) under Candidatus Acetothermia bacterium. It matches the Rfam family "transfer-messenger RNA". Rfam says of the family: Bacterial tmRNA, also known as 10Sa RNA or SsrA, is named for its dual tRNA and mRNA-like properties. Lineage: Bacteria; Candidatus Bipolaricaulota. RNAcentral also lists the same sequence under 1 other name. The record is from RNAcentral.